UGUGAAAUUUGGUGCCGUGACUCGGAUCUGGGGACCUCCCUUGGGAGAUCAAUCCCCUGUCCUGUUCUUUGCUCCAUGACAAAGAUCCACCUAUGACCUCAGGUCCUCAGACCGACCAGCCCAAGGAACAUCUCACCAAUUGUAAAUCAGGUAAGCGGCCUCUUCUUACUCUCUUCUCCAACCUCUCUCACUGUCCCUCAACCACUUUCUCCUUUCCACUCUUCAGUCUCUCCCUUCUCUUAAUUUCAAUUCCUUUCAUUUUCUGGGAGAGACAAAGGAGACACAUUUUAUCCGUGGACCCAAAACUCUGGCGCCGGUGACGGACUGGGAAGGCAGCCUUCCCUUGGUGUUUAAUCAUUGCAGGGAUGCCUCUCUGAUUAUACACUCACGUUUCAAGGGUGUCAGACUAUGCAGGGACGCCUGCCUUGGUCCUUCACCCUUAGUGGCAAGUCCCGCUUUUCUACAGGGCAAGAACCCCCAAUCCCUUAUUUCCAUGCCCCAACCUCUUAUCUCUGUGCCCCAAUCCCUUAUUUCUGCACCCUGACCUCUUAUCUCUGUGUCCCAAUCCCUUAUUUCCGUGCCCAGACCUCGUAUCUCUGUGCCCCAAUCCCUUAUUUCUGCGCCCCAACCUGUUAUAUCUCUGUGCCCCAAUCUCUUAUUUCCACACCCUGACCUCUUAUCUCUGUGCCCCAACCCCUUUUCCCACUUUUCUGGAAGGUAAGAACCCCCAACUCCAUUUCUCUACUCUCUCUUUUCUCUAGGC
This 763-nucleotide long non-coding RNA is filed under the name Homo sapiens (human). RNAcentral's name for it is "HSALNT0347683". Lineage: Eukaryota; Metazoa; Chordata; Mammalia; Primates; Hominidae. The record is from RNAcentral.